Molecule: long non-coding RNA, 5129 nt
Organism: Hydractinia symbiolongicarpus
Lineage: Eukaryota; Metazoa; Cnidaria; Hydrozoa; Anthoathecata; Hydractiniidae
Exons: 2
Source: RefSeq, a predicted model, not a curated record
UCUCAAAAUGUUCGUAUGUUUUUUUCGUAUAAUUAUACGAACGCUACGAAGUACUUCGUUUCGUGAAACGAAUGUCAUACGAAGUGCUUCGUUUAAAAUAAAAAAUGUAAACGAAGUUUAUACGAACUUUGUUAAUAUAUGAUACGAACUUAAACGAAGUUUUUUUUACCGUACAAAAUGAAAUGAUACGAACUUUGAACAAAGUAAAUUGCUAUACGAUCUUGAAACGAACUUCAAAAGUACCGGCGUGAUUGCGCAUAAUAACGAAACCAGAAACAAAAGAAUUAAACAAUUUUUUUUAAAGACGAAAAGAAAUAAUACGCACUUUAAACGAAACCAGAAAUAAAAAAAGUAAAAUAUACGAGGUUGACUUCUUUGAAAAGACUAGUAAAAUUGCAUAUUCAUAGGUUCAAUCUACACGAUCUACGGCGAUCUUUUCGCUUUAUACGAUCCCGUUUUCAUGAUUUUUAAACGAUCUACGGCGAUCUUUUCGCUUUAUAGGAUCCAGUUUUCAUGAUUUUUAAACGAUCUACGGCGAUCUUUUCGCUUUAUACGAUCCUGUUUUCAUGAUUUUUAAACGAUCUACGGCGGUCUUUUCGCUUUAUACGAUCCUGUUUUCAUGAUUUUUAAACGAUCUACGGCGAUCUUUUCGCUUUAUACGAUCCUGUUUUCAUGAUUUUUAAACGAUCUACGGCGGUCUUUUCGCUUUAUACGAUCCUGUUUUCAUGAUUUUUAAACGAUCUACGGCGAUCUUUUCGCUUUCUACGAUCCCGUUUUCAUGAUUUUUAAACGAUCUACGGCGAUCUUUUCGUUUUCUACGAUCCCGUUUUCAUGAUUUUUAACGAUUUACGGCGAUCUUUUCGUUUUCUACGAUCCCGUUUUCAUGAUUUUUAACGAUUUACGGCGAUUUUUUCGUUUUCUACGAUCCCAUUUUCAUGAUUUUUAAACGAUCUACGGCGAUUUUUUCGUUUUCUACGAUCCCGUUUUCAUGAUUUUUAAACGAUCUACGGCGUUCUUUUCGCUUUCUACGAUCCCGUUUUCAUGAUUUUUUAAACGAUCUACGGCGAUCUUUUCGCUUUCUACGAUCCCGUUUUCAUGAUUUUUAACGAUUUACGGCGAUUCUUUCGCUUUCUAUGAUUCCGUUUUCAUGAAUUUUAAACGUUCCACAGUGAUCUUUUCGCUUUCUACGAUCCUGUUUUCAUGAGUUUUAAACGAUCUACAGAGAUGUUUUUGCUUUCUACGAUGCCGUGGAGACGAUCCUUAAAGACCUUAGAUAAUAAAUCCAAUUAGAAUAAACGAAGUUCGUAUAACGAAACGAACUUUAUAAUUGUUGAAAAAAUUUCAAUAUAAAACUAUAGAUAAUAGUCCAAUUAUAAUAAACGAACUUCGUAGAAGCAAAUUUUUAUACGAACUUCUUUAAAAAUGAUACGAACUACAUACGAACUUUAUUUUAAAUGAUACGAACUUUAUACGAACUUGUAAUUUUGAUGAUACGAAAAAGUUCGUAUUAAAAAUAAAAUGAUACGAAAGAUUUAAUAAAUCGAUACGAAGUUUUUUAUACGAAUUAUACGAACUACGUACGAACAUUAUGAGACGAUCCCUAAUGCACAAUGUAAAAAAGCUCUCCUUUUCCACUCAUCAAAGUUGGAUUAUACAAAUUGUUUUAAUUUCUGGCUGCUAAAACAUAAACAGGUAAAUUGUUCUACAUAGCAUUUUAAAAAUAUGUGAAAAGAAACUGACAUUUGUUAUUCUUCUGGUUAUCAGGACGUCAACAUGAUAACAUCAUUUCAUUCAAAACUUCCACUUUUUACUGAUGUGAAUGCCACCAGCAGGUAUUUUGUCAGUCAAUAUAUCUGAAACAAUUUAUACGUGUCCAUAAAUAACACAUAUGCACACGAUUGCAUUAAAUAUAUAUUGACAUACAUGUCAGUUGCUUAGAAAAUUGUAUGACUAUUCUUAAUUCAAAAAUGUUCGUGUUAGAUGAUAAGUGAAUGUCGCCAGCUCAUAUUCAACGAAACACGAAUAGUAAAUUAAAAUGGAAAUGAGUGUAACAACUUGAAAUAAUAAGUUAUGCAUAAUUUAUUCACAAUUCUCUACAUAAAUGAUUCACCAAGGUUGGAAGAGUUGAACAUACUCACACACAUAAUAUUUCCAUGUUGAUUCAAAUUUACAAUAUAUAUAAAUUUAUUUUUUGAUUAAAAACACACAGUCUAUUUAUAUAAUGUAAAAUGUAUAAUCACUUUUUCUACCUUUUAAAUUUGAAAAACUGCAGCUUAUCUACCAGAUUUUCAUAGAACUUACAAAACAAUUAUUAAAAGCAUUAAAAUACAGAACAAACAAUCUGGGUACCCCUGGAAGAUUUUAAAUUUAAUAAAUAAAGUUCAAUUUAGUGAGAAAGGGGACAUUCGAGUACCCUUAAAGAGUUUGUUAAUGUUAAGUUUCCUGUAAACCAAAAAUUAAACCAUUAAAAACAACAGGAACAGAAUGACUUUUUUUAGACAUCUUUUAUGGUGUUUAAACUUCUAAUAACAAGCAAUCGUAAAAUGGAUAUGCGGAAACAACACCAUAUUUAUUAUAUACAUGCAAAGAACAUCUGCACAUAUAGUAAUUUUGGAAAUAAAUUAAAAUCUCGUAGUUAGAAUACAACAGAAAAAAGUUAAUCAACACUUGUUCUUUCUUCUUCUCUUUUGAUAACUUUUUGUUUAUUUUAUCUUUUUUUUCAUUUUAUUUAAAAAAACUAACCCAAAACACUUUCUUUUCGCUUUAUUCGUUUUUCUUUUUUCUUUUCUCUUUUCUUUAUUUAUUUAUUUUUUUUAUUUCAAAGUGAAAAAGUAAAAAUAUUUUGAAUACUUUUCUAAGUUCUUUAAAUUUAAGGGUUAGGAAACACAUACUUUUGAGGUCUUUGCAAAGUAUAUAGUAGAGCAUUGUAAAAACUAUACAACAAUUAUUCAAUUCUUCAUCAGCACAAUAAAGAUUACAAUUAAAAUACUGGAAAUAAAAACAAAUCUAAAAAAAUAAAUAAAUCAAAUAAAACUAGCACGUACUUUUCUUUUUCUUCUCUUCAACUCUCUCGACUGCAAGUAAUAAAAAUUUCAACUGUUUUUACAUCUUUGUUAUGCUAGGCGCAAUAUUAUAUGUUUAAUAAUUAAGGCACACUACAUUAAUUUGAACGUUUAUAAUGCGCAAAAACGUGUUAUAUUUAUGGCUUCAUUAAAAAGAAGAUUUUAAAGUACCAAAUUAUCAGCUUGAAUUGGCAUGUUUGUGGUAUCCAUUUCAUACAGCAGAAGAAAAGUGAGUUGCGAAGGUAUGGAUGAUUUGAAAGUUAUUUUUACGUUUUUUCGUUGGUUUGAUGUAGCUAGCUAGCUAACUAAAUUACUUUGUGGUGCCUGUGGCCACCAUGGAAAAUGCUGUCAUCCUUCAAUGGAAUCAAUACCUAGCUAGCUACAGUGAGAAGAAGAAAAUUCAAUCCAUAAAAGUAUUAACAAAACUCUUUCUUUUUAAAUUUUAUUAUACAAUUUUUAAGUAUUUCCUAAAACUCAAGUUGCUUCUUUUUUUUGUUGUAUCGUGGAAAUAAAUUUAAGUCACCAAUCCAAAACUAACAGGGGAAAAUAUACAUGAGGGUGCCGAUAAGCCACCAAUGGUUCAAAAAACUAUAAAAAUUAAAAUAAACUUUAUGUGGUAGCGAAGUUCUUAAAAGAACUGUUUUUGAUGGUUUUUAUAAGAUUUACUUUAUAAAUAACUUACAUAUAAACUUUAUUAACUCCUUUCUCUUCAAGCGCCUUCUUGCAACUGUCGUCCGCAUGAUGGUAUGUUACAAGAAAUUGCAUUUUGGGAAUGCUCCGGGCGAUUUCGGAGGACAACCGCCAAUUUUAUUCGCAAAGUUUCCCGAGCUCGCCCUUGUAUAUGCGUUCGUUUGGGGCUUAUCAACACCCUCUUAAAUAUACCUCUUCAUUCUUUUAGGUAUUUGCUCAUUUGUGGUUAAAAACUUUUGUACUGUUGCUACUAGCGUCUUUUUACUUUACCUACUUUUGCAUGUUGUUAAAUUCUUCAACACUUAAACCUUGCAAUAAAUUUUUCAAGAAGUGAGCUAAUGACGUGUGAAGUCACGAAUGACCAAGUGGACUUUUGUUCGAUAAUAGUGGCGACCGUUAAUGUAAUUAUUGUUUUUGGGAGAUUAAGUUUGGACAUAUACAAAAAUAUUUAAAAAAAAUAAAAAAUAUUCAGGGCUUCAUCAUUUUCUUUACAACCCUAUGUUUUUGCAUUGUGUUUUAUGAGCUUACAAUAAUGUGGUAUAGCUAAGUUAUGAUACGUAAAAACUACUCUUGAAUGACCCUUUAAGAAUGUGAAACCACAUAAUAGACCUUAAUCAAAUUUCGUGUUUUUCGUAACUUUUGUGUUCAGUAUGGUGGAUUAGUGCGCGUGUCAACUGGCCAAAAAAGCCAUAAGUAUGAGGGCAAGCUUGGGUAAAUUUUUAAAUACAAUUUGUACUUUCCAAACGAAAAACAGUGCUUUCAAUUCUGUUGUCUUGGCCACAAAAAGUAGUGAUCUAUAUUUUAUGUGUUUAGCCUCAUUAAUUCCAAUAAAUUUACCCUGUCAAUUUUUUUCCAGGAGGUACAACAUAGACGGUUCUAGAGUGUAAAAAAGCUUCCAUUUGAGCCACAGAAACUGUUCAAUAAGCAACAACUGUUAUGUGGGAUUGAACCCAUAUGAAUAGGAAGUGAACGCUCUACCGACUGAACUACCAAUCCCCAAAAAAAGACAACCCUCAAAAUGACUUUACUAAUUAUAUCAAGCAUAUUGUAUCUAGUAAACACUUUUUGAGCACUCUGUCCCAAAAAAUGAUAUAUAUUUGUAGUUUAGAAAUUUGGCUCCAAAUAUCGUCCGUCAAAGGCCUGGAUUUUAAUGUAUUUAGAGACUUUGCUAUAUAUAUAAUAUAAUAUACUAUAUAAAAAUGUUUUCUGUUUUUUUUUAGGUUGCGUACAUUUAGAGCGAGGAGAAAUGUUAUUUUUCAAUACGUGAGAUAAAAAGAAGAAAGCGAAACCUCACACCUCGUUGUUAUUGUUUUUCUGUCAAAAAUUUAGCUGUUUUAUAAAUCUUGAUAAAGUUAAUAAAUUGUUUUCGUUUCUGUA